UACGUAUGGUGCAAGCGUUAUCCGGAUUUACUGGGUGUAAAGGGAGCGUAGGUGGCAAGGCAAGCCAGAAGUGAAAACCCGGGGCUCAACCGCGGGAUUGCUUUUGGAACUGCCAUGCUAGAGUGCAGGAGGGGUGAGCGGAAUUCCUAGUGUAGCGGUGAAAUGCGUAGAUAUUAGGAGGAACACCAGAGGCGAAGGCGGCUCACUGGACUGUAACUGACACUGAGGCUCGAAAGCGUGGGGAGCAAACAGG
Molecule: ribosomal RNA, 253 nt
Filed under: uncultured Lachnospiraceae bacterium
Lineage: Bacteria; Bacillati; Bacillota; Clostridia; Lachnospirales; Lachnospiraceae
Description: partial 16S ribosomal RNA
Rfam family: Bacterial small subunit ribosomal RNA
Source: RNAcentral